AGUGAACGCUGGCGGUAGGCCUAACACAUGCAAGUCGAACGGCAGCACAGUAAGAGCUUGCUCUUACGGGUGGCGAGUGGCGGACGGGUGAGGAAUACAUCGGAAUCUACUUUUUCGUGGGGGAUAACGUAGGGAAACUUACGCUAAUACCGCAUACGACCUACGGGUGAAAGCAGAGGAUCUUCGGACCUUGCGCGAUUGAAUGAGUCGAUGUCGGAUUAGCUAGUUGGCGGGGUAAAGGCCCACCAAGGCGACGAUCCGUAGCUGGUCUGAGAGGAUGAUCAGCCACACUGGAACUGAGACACGGUCCAGACUCCUACGGGAGGCAGCAGUGGGGAAUAUUGGACAAUGGGCGCAAGCCUGAUCCAGCCAUACCGCGUGGGUGAAGAAGGCCUUCGGGUUGUAAAGCCCUUUUGUUGGGAAAGAAAAGCAGCAGGUUAAUACCCCGCUGUUCUGACGGUACCCAAAGAAUAAGCACCGGCUAACUUCGUG
RNAcentral lists this ribosomal RNA (492 nucleotides) under uncultured bacterium. RNAcentral's name for it is "partial 16S ribosomal RNA". It matches the Rfam family "Bacterial small subunit ribosomal RNA", at positions 29 to 507 of the family's 1533-position model. The record is from RNAcentral.